UUAACUCUUUUGGGAGAACUCGGUGUUAGGCCGACGCCGAAGGCGUAACCCGUCCGUAAUCGCUCAGGCAAAUGGACCAUAAGAGGGGU
This is a regulatory RNA element of 89 nucleotides. It matches the Rfam family "Glycine riboswitch aptamer". From Rfam's summary of the family: This family represents the bacterial glycine riboswitch. Glycine riboswitches usually consist of two metabolite-binding aptamers domains with similar structures in tandem. The aptamers cooperatively bind glycine to regulate the expression of downstream genes. The record is from Rfam.